This 758-nucleotide ribosomal RNA is filed under the name uncultured bacterium. RNAcentral's name for it is "bacterial SSU rRNA". It matches the Rfam family "Bacterial small subunit ribosomal RNA", at positions 32 to 815 of the family's 1533-position model. The record is from RNAcentral.
AACGCUGGCGGCACGCUUAACACAUGCAAGUCGAACGGUGAAAUGGUGCUUGCACCAUGGAUCAGUGGCGGACGGGUGAGUAACACGUGAGCAAUCUGCCUUCGGGUGGGGGAUACCAGUUGGAAACGACUGUUAAUACCGCAUAAUAUAAUCGAACCGCAUGAUUUGAUUAUCAAAGAUUUAUUGCCUGAAGAUGAGCUCGCGUCUGAUUAGCUGGUUUGGUAAGGUAACGUUCCACCAAGGCGACGAUCAGUAGCCGGCCUGAGAGGGUGAACGGCCACAUUGGGACUGAGACACGGCCCAAACUCCUACGGGAGGCAGCAGUGGGGAAUAUUGCACAAUGGGGGAAACCCUGAUGCAGCGACGCCGCGUGAGUGACGAAGUAUUUCGGUAUGUAAAGCUCUAUCAGCAGGGAAGAAAAUGACGGUACCUGACUAAGAAGCCCCGGCUAACUACGUGCCAGCAGCCGCGGUAUACGUAGGGGCAGCGUUAUCCGGAUUUACUGGGUGUAAGGGAGCGCAGACGGAGAUCAAGUCUGAUGUGAAUGGUGGGGCUCACCCCGAAACUCGAUGGGAACUGUCUCCCUAAUUCGAGAGAAGAUAGGGAUCUCUAGGUGACGUUGUAUCGUGAAUAUAAGAGACCCGUGGCGAGGGCUUCUGUCUGUACAGCUUUAGUCACUGGACAGAUACUGUACCCAAUCUGGACGUCGCCCUCUCUCGUUCUUAUAAAGCAGAGAGAGCAACUAGAAAUAUUACGCA